Molecule: ribosomal RNA, 489 nt
Filed under: uncultured bacterium
Lineage: Bacteria
Description: bacterial SSU rRNA
Rfam family: Bacterial small subunit ribosomal RNA
Source: RNAcentral
AGAGUUUGAUCAUGGCUCAGGACGAACGCUGGCGGCGUGCCUAAAACAUGCAAGUCGAACGGAACUUCGGUUAGUGGCGAACGGCGGAGUAAUACAUGAGCAACGUGCCCCUUUGACUGGGAUAUACAGAGGAAACUCUGGGCAAUACCGGAUGUGACUGUCUCUUGGCAUCUUGAGACAAUUAAACGGAUUUAUUCGCAAAGGGAGCGGCUCAUGACCCAUCAGGUAGUUGGUAGGGUAAAGGCCUACCAAGCCGACGACGGGUAGCGGGUCUGAGAGGAUGAUCCGCCCGAGUGGGACUGAGACACGGCCCACACACCUACGGGUGGCAGCAGUUGGGAAUCUUGCACAAUGGGGGAAACCCUGAUGCAGCGACGCCGCGUGGACGAUGAAGGGUUUAGGCCUGUAAAGUCCUUUUGCCAGGAAAGACUUAGGACGGUACCUGCGAAUAAGCUCCGGCUAACUACGUGCCAGCAGCCGCGGUAAUAC